Molecule: ribosomal RNA, 306 nt
Filed under: Triticum aestivum (bread wheat)
Lineage: Eukaryota; Viridiplantae; Streptophyta; Magnoliopsida; Poales; Poaceae
Description: partial small subunit ribosomal RNA
Source: RNAcentral
AUGCCAGCACUCCGGUGGCUCCGUCUUUGCUGGCGUGCUCCAUUAAGGAAUAGUGACGACGCUGGCAUUGGCUUCGAGCAUCUUUCAAGUCUUACUGACCUCCAGGUAGUAAUUGAUUGUUUUACUGCAACUCUGGACGAGGUGGAGACUCUGGAAGGUUUCGCUUUGCAUCCCAACCGUCACAAUCUUCAGUUCCAUCUCAGUAGAUUAUUUGAAAUGAUGAUCGGGGUGAUGGCAGAGGAGGAGGAAAGGCAGAAGGAAAGGCGUAGGAGAGAAGGUUACGGGUUAUUUGAAAUGAUGAUCUGA